AUCGGCAAAUGAUGAACACUUUUAUUUCAUUAUAUCUGAACUAUGAUGUGGAUUAAACUCCGCUUAUUGUCGAUCUGAUGCCAUA
Small nucleolar RNA from Impatiens glandulifera, 85 nucleotides. RefSeq annotates it as small nucleolar RNA R16. The transcript has a single exon. Lineage: Eukaryota; Viridiplantae; Streptophyta; Magnoliopsida; Ericales; Balsaminaceae. The record is from RefSeq and is a predicted model, not a curated record.